CGGGGCGUGGCGCAGCUUGGUAGCGCACCUGCUUUGGGAGCAGGGGGUCGCAGGUUCGAAUCCUGUCGCCCCGA
RNAcentral lists this transfer RNA (74 nucleotides) under Corynebacterium crudilactis. RNAcentral describes it as "tRNA-Pro". It matches the Rfam family "tRNA". Rfam says of the family: Transfer RNA (tRNA) molecules are approximately 80 nucleotides in length. Their secondary structure includes four short double-helical elements and three loops (D, anti-codon, and T loops). Lineage: Bacteria; Bacillati; Actinomycetota; Actinomycetes; Mycobacteriales; Corynebacteriaceae. RNAcentral also lists the same sequence under 1 other name. The record is from RNAcentral.